Molecule: transfer RNA, 77 nt
Filed under: Betaproteobacteria bacterium MOLA814
Lineage: Bacteria; Pseudomonadati; Pseudomonadota; Betaproteobacteria
Also listed under: 8 other names
Description: tRNA-Ile
Rfam family: tRNA
About the family: Transfer RNA (tRNA) molecules are approximately 80 nucleotides in length. Their secondary structure includes four short double-helical elements and three loops (D, anti-codon, and T loops). Further hydrogen bonds mediate the characteristic L-shaped molecular structure. tRNAs have two regions of fundamental functional importance: the anti-codon, which is responsible for specific mRNA codon recognition, and the 3' end, to which the tRNAs corresponding amino acid is attached (by aminoacyl-tRNA synthetases). tRNAs cope with the degeneracy of the genetic code in two manners: having more than one tRNA (with a specific anti-codon) for a particular amino acid; and 'wobble' base-pairing, i.e. permitting non-standard base-pairing at the 3rd anti-codon position.
Source: RNAcentral
GGGUCUGUAGCUCAGCUGGUUAGAGCACUGUGUUGAUAACGCAGGGGUCGUUGGUUCGAGUCCAACCAGACCCACCA